RNAcentral lists this long non-coding RNA (202 nucleotides) under Panax ginseng (ginseng). Its description in RNAcentral is "long non-coding RNA (PGIN_LNC016505)". Lineage: Eukaryota; Viridiplantae; Streptophyta; Magnoliopsida; Apiales; Araliaceae. The record is from RNAcentral.
UCGUCCUCGAAAUUGACGUACGUACCUGGUGUUUCGAAAAGGUGAGGAUACCUCGCUUUCAUUUCCGUUUCCAACUCCCAGGUCAUUUCCUCUAUAGCAUGGUUCCUCCAUAAAACUUUAACUUGUGGUAUGACCUUCGUGCGUAGGACAUGCUCUUUCCUAUCCAAGAUCUUGACAGGUACCUCUUCGUACGUUAAGUCUU